RNAcentral lists this ribosomal RNA (496 nucleotides) under uncultured bacterium. RNAcentral describes it as "partial 16S ribosomal RNA". It matches the Rfam family "Bacterial small subunit ribosomal RNA", at positions 30 to 523 of the family's 1533-position model. The record is from RNAcentral.
AUUGAACGCUGGCGGAAUGCUUUACACAUGCAAGUCGAACGGUAGAGGGGGCAACCCCUCGAGAGUGGCGAACGGGUGAGUAAUAUAUCGGAACGUGCCCAGUCGUGGGGGAUAACGUAGCGAAAGUUACGCUAAUACCGCAUACAAUCUAAGGAUGCAAGCGGGGGAUCGCAAGACCUCGCGCGAUUGGAGCGGCCGAUAUCAGAUUAGGUAGUUGGUGGGGUAAAGGCUCACCAAGCCAACGAUCUGUAGCUGGUCUAAGAGGACGACCAGCCACACUGGAACUGAGACACGGUCCAGACUCCUACGGGAGGCAGCAGUGGGGAAUUUUGGACAAUGGACGCAAGUCUGAUCCAGCCAUUCCGCGUGCAGGAUGAAGGCCCUCGGGUUGUAAACUGCUUUUGUACGGAACGAAAAGGUCUCUCUUAAUACGGGGGACUCAUGACGGUACCGUAAGAAUAAGCACCGGCUAACUACGUGCCAGCAGCCGCAGUAA